RNAcentral lists this ribosomal RNA (117 nucleotides) under Myxococcales bacterium. Lineage: Bacteria; Pseudomonadati; Myxococcota; Myxococcia; Myxococcales. The record is from RNAcentral.
UUCGGUGACAACGGCAAGGAGGUCCCACCCGAUCCCAUCCCGAACUCGGAAGUUAAGCUCCUUUGCGCCGAUGAUACUGCGGUGGAGACGCCGUGGGAAAGUAGGUCGUCGCCGGAU